AGUGAACGCUGGCGGUAGGCCUAACACAUGCAAGUCGAACGGCAGCACAGUAAGAGCUUGCUCUUACGGGUGGCGAGUGGCGGACGGGUGAGGAAUACAUCGGAAUCUACUUUUUCGUGGGGGAUAACGUAGGGAAACUUACGCUAAUACCGCAUACGACCUACGGGUGAAGGCAGGGGAUCUUCGGACCUUGCGCGAUUGAAUGAGCCGAUGUCGGAUUAGCUAGUUGGCGGGGUAAAGGCCCACCAAGGCGACGAUCCGUAGCUGGUCUGAGAGGAUGAUCAGCCACACUGGAACUGAGACACGGUCCAGACUCCUACGGGAGGCAGCAGUGGGGAAUAUUGGACAAGGGGCGCAAGCCUGAUCAAGCCAUACCGCGUGGGUGAAGAAGGCCUUCGGGUUGUAAAGCCCUUUUGUUGGGAAAGAAAAGCAGCAGGUUAAUACCCCGCUGUUCUGACGGUACCCAAAGAAUAAGCACCGGCUAACUUCGU
RNAcentral lists this ribosomal RNA (491 nucleotides) under uncultured bacterium. RNAcentral describes it as "partial 16S ribosomal RNA". It matches the Rfam family "Bacterial small subunit ribosomal RNA", at positions 29 to 506 of the family's 1533-position model. The record is from RNAcentral.